RNAcentral lists this ribosomal RNA (617 nucleotides) under Leuconostoc lactis. RNAcentral's name for it is "bacterial SSU rRNA". It matches the Rfam family "Bacterial small subunit ribosomal RNA", at positions 72 to 680 of the family's 1533-position model. The record is from RNAcentral. Lineage: Bacteria; Bacillati; Bacillota; Bacilli; Lactobacillales; Lactobacillaceae.
GCUUGCACCUUCUCAAGCGAGUGGCGAACGGGUGAGUAACACGUGGAUAACCUGCCUCAAGGCUGGGGAUAACAUUUGGAAACAGAUGCUAAUACCGAAUAAAACUUAGUAUCGCAUGAUACAAAGUUGAAAGGCGCUACGGCGUCACCUAGAGAUGGGUCCGCGGUGCAUUAGUUAGUUGGUGGGGUAAAGGCCUACCAAGACAAUGAUGCAUAGCCGAGUUGAGAGACUGAUCGGCCACAUUGGGACUGAGACACGGCCCAAACUCCUACGGGAGGCUGCAGUAGGGAAUCUUCCACAAUGGGCGAAAGCCUGAUGGAGCAACGCCGCGUGUGUGAUGAAGGCUUUAGGGUCGUAAAGCACUGUUGUAUGGGAAGAAAUGCUAGAAUAGGGAAUGAUUCUAGUUCGACGGUACCAUACCAGAAAGGGACGGCUAAAUACGUGCCAGCAGCCGCGGUAAUACGUAUGUCCCGAGCGUUAUCCGGAUUUAUUGGGCGUAAAGCGAGCGCAGACGGUUGAUUAAGUCUGAUGUGAAAGCCCGGAGCUCAACUCCGGAAUGGCAUUGGAAACUGGUUAACUUGAGUGUUGUAGAGGUAAGUGGAACUCCAUGGUUAAAC